GGAAGGCCUGUAGCUCAGUGGUAGAGCAUCAGUCAUCUAUGCAGAAGGUCUCAGGUCCAAACCUUGGCAUCUCCA
This is a non-coding RNA of Podarcis lilfordi (Lilford's wall lizard), 75 nucleotides long. Lineage: Eukaryota; Metazoa; Chordata; Lepidosauria; Squamata; Lacertidae. The record is from the annotation of a GenBank genome assembly.